GUGUCAGCCGCCGCGGUAAUACGGAGGGUGCGAGCGUUGUCCGGAAUCACUGGGCGUAAAGGGCGCGUAGGCGGCUACUUAAGCGUGUGGUGAAAGUCCGGGGCUCAACCCCGGAUCGGCCGUGCGAACUGAGUGGCUCGAGCACUGUAGAGGCAGGUGGAAUUCCGGGUGUAGCGGUGGAAUGCGUAGAGAUCCGGAAGAACACCGGUGGCGAAGGCGGCCUGCUGGGCAGUGGCUGACGCUGAGGCGCGACAGCGUGGGGAGCAAACAGGAUUAGAUACCCCCGUAGUCC
RNAcentral lists this ribosomal RNA (292 nucleotides) under uncultured bacterium. RNAcentral describes it as "partial 16S ribosomal RNA". It matches the Rfam family "Bacterial small subunit ribosomal RNA", at positions 505 to 796 of the family's 1533-position model. The record is from RNAcentral.